This 459-nucleotide ribosomal RNA is filed under the name uncultured bacterium. Its description in RNAcentral is "partial 16S ribosomal RNA". It matches the Rfam family "Bacterial small subunit ribosomal RNA", at positions 338 to 795 of the family's 1533-position model. The record is from RNAcentral.
CCUACGGGAGGCAGCAGUGAGGAAUAUUGGUCAAUGGCCGAGAGGCUGAACCAGCCAAGUCGCGUGAGGGCAGACGGCCCUACGGGUUGUAAACCUCUUUUGUCGGGGAGCAAAGCGAGUCACGUGUGCCUCCUUGAGAGUACCCGAAGAAAAAGCAUCGGCAAACUCCGUGCCAGCAGCCGCGGUAAUACGGGGGAUGCGAGCGUUAUCCGGAUUUAGUGGGUUUAAGGGGUGCGCAGGGGGAGGUGCAGGUCAGCGGUAAAAUUGCGGGGCUCAACCCCGUACUGCCGUUGAAACGGCAUCCCUUGAGUGCGCGAGAAGUAUGCGGAAUGCGUGGUGUAGCGGUGAAAUGCGUAGAUAUCACGCAGAACUCCGAUUGCGAAGGCAGCAUACCGGCGCGCAACUGACGCUCAUGCACGAAAGCGUGGGUAUCGAACAGGAUUAGAUACCCUAGUAGUC